This 465-nucleotide ribosomal RNA is filed under the name uncultured bacterium. Its description in RNAcentral is "partial 16S ribosomal RNA". It matches the Rfam family "Bacterial small subunit ribosomal RNA", at positions 28 to 506 of the family's 1533-position model. The record is from RNAcentral.
GAUGAACGCUGGCGGCGUGCUUAACACAUGCAAGUCGAACGAUGAAGCCCAGCUUGCUGGGUGGCUUAGUGGCGAACGGGUGAGUAACACGUGAGUAACCUGCCCUUAACUCUGGGAUAAGCCUGGGAAACUGGGUCUAAUACCGGAUAGGAGCGUCCACCGCAUGGUGGGUGUUGGAAAGAUUUAUCGGUUUUGGAUGGACUCGCGGCCUAUCAGCUUGUUGGUGAGGUAAUGGCUCACCAAGGCGACGACGGGUAGCCGGCCUGAGAGGGUGACCGGCCACACGGGGACGGAGACACGGCCCAGACUCCUACGGGAGGCAGCAGGGGGAAAUAUUGCACAAGGGGCGCAAGCCUGAUGCAGGGACGCCGGGUGGGGGAUGACGGCCUUCGGGUGGAAAACCUCUUUCGGUAGGGAAGAAGCGAAAGGGACGUAACCGGAAGAAGAAGCACCGGCGAACUACGU